GGCGUCCUGCCAGCGGGGCGCCCCCGGCCUGAGACUCCCUGGAAGCCUCGUCCGCGAGUCGCGGACUCGGGGCCCGGAGGGCGGCGGGAGGUCCUGCGCUGCGGUGCGGCUAUAGCGCCCGCGCUCCCCGCGGAAGAACCGCCGAGUCGAGCGCUGAAGGUGUGGCCCACCAGCAGGAGUGUCAGAACGUGCCGAGCCGCUCGAGUCGGAGUCGCCAGAACCCCCGGAAGACGAGCCGUUCACCGGCAGGCCAACUGGGGCUUCUUCGUGUAGUGGACUGACAGCCAAGCGUCGGGAACGCAGUGUCGUGGGUGUGCGGCUGACCGGGUGAGGAGGAUCUUUCACAGAGACCGUGCCCCUCCGUGGAGUCCAGGAACAGGGCCUCAAACCUGCGUCCUCAUGGAUACUAGUCAAAUUUGUUUCCCCUGAGCCAGGACAGGAACUCCCUUCAAGGAUAUUUGUUUGUUUGAUUCUUUCUGCUUUUUUGUUUUUUCUAGGGCCACACCCACAGCGUGUGGAGGUUCGCAAGCUAGGGGUCCAGUCGGAGCUGUCGCCGCCAGCCUAUACCACAGCCACAGCCACGCAGGAUCUGAGCUGCAUCUGCACCCUACACCACAGCUCGCAGCAACACUGGAUCCCCAACCCACUGAACCAGGCCAGGGAUCGAAUUGCAACCUCAUGGUUCCUAGUCAGGUUCAUUAACCACUGAGCCAUGACAGGAACUCUGCUUCAAGGAUAUUUGGAAGCAUCUAUAUUUAUGGCCCAUCUCAGAAUGCAAAAGGUUUUUAAAAAUGUAAACCUCUUUGCCUUUUGGAGUGUAAAUAUUUGGGGGCUUAAGAGUCUGAUGCAUCUGUGUGCGACAGAGCUGGUCUCAGCAGGCACCUCACUGGGCUCUCAUGAGGGGAUUUCUUUCACGGAACCGUCUUUGGUAUGUAGCAGGUGUUCGUAGGUGUUAGUCAUUGCCGUUACUGUCUGUAUCACUGCCAUCAUCAAAGCCUGACAAGGCAAGGCUUCCAGGCCUCGCACUGCCAUGAAAGAGUUGGGCGGAGCAAGGCCUGUGCGUUGGGUCUCUGAGCCUCACUUCCUGAGUGGGCAACAUGAAAAUUGAUGCCCGCUUCAAGGGUUGCUGUGACCGUUACACCAGUGUGGAUGGGAAAGCAGUUGUUUCAAGAAGCAUCAAAGGUUAAUAACACCUGGAACGUUUUCCAGAAGAAAGUUAAAUACAGGAUGGCCUGAUGCGUUCCCCACAGGGUGUACUCUUUGCUUCCGUUUCAUUCGUGUUCAACAAGAUGCGCGUUCAGGCCAUGCUCCAUUUCUGCAGCAAAAAAGGCACUUUGCAGCUAUAUUCUUUGCACGUGAUGCUGAGUAGUAUUUCAGAGCCAGGCCUUAGAAACUUCAAGGCCUGGGAGUUCCUUCGUGGCUCUGGUUAACGAACCCGACUAGGAUCCGUGAGGACUCAGGUUUGAUCCCUGGCCUUGCUCAGUGGGUUAAGGAUCUGGCAUUGCUAUGAGCUGUGGUGUAGGUCACAGACAUGGCUUGGAUCCCAUCAUUUUGCUGUGGCUGUGGCAUAGGGUGGCAGCUGCAGCUCCAAUUUGACCCCUAUCUUGGGAACUUCCAUAUGCCUCUGGUAUGGCCCUAAAAAGACCAAAAAAAAAUUAGCAAAGGAGUUCCUGCUGCAGUGCAAUGAGAUUUAAGUGUCUGUAGCACCAGGACACAGGUUCAACUCCCUGCCCCUCAGAGAGGGCUAAAGGAUCCAGCAUUACCGAAGCUUCAGCGUAGGUCAGCUUCAGCUGUGUCUCAGAUCUGAUCCAUGGCCCGGGAGCUUCAUGCGCUGCAAAGUGGCCAAAAAAUUUAAAAAGGAAAAAGUUCUUGUCGUGUCUCAGCAGUAACAAACCUGAUUAGUCAUGAGGAUGUGGGUUCAAUCCCUGGCCCGGCUCAGUGGGUUAACAUUCUGCUGUUGCCAUGGGCUGUGGUGUAGGUUGCAUAUGUGGUUUGGAUUUGAUCUCUAGUCUGGGAACUUCCAUAGCCCUCCAAAAAAAAAAAAAAAAAAAAA
RNAcentral lists this long non-coding RNA (2053 nucleotides) under Sus scrofa (pig). Its description in RNAcentral is "lncRNA (ENSSSCG00055028100.1)". The record is from RNAcentral. Lineage: Eukaryota; Metazoa; Chordata; Mammalia; Artiodactyla; Suidae.